GCAGAGACAUGGGGUUGUAAAGCUCCUUAAAAUGAGUGAAAUGUUUGUUGGGUCAUUUUCAUGAAAAUAAAUCCAU
Long non-coding RNA from Xenia sp. Carnegie-2017, 76 nucleotides. RefSeq lists it as uncharacterized. The record is from RefSeq and is a predicted model, not a curated record. Lineage: Eukaryota; Metazoa; Cnidaria; Anthozoa; Malacalcyonacea; Xeniidae. The transcript is spliced from 3 exons.